GUGCACCAGUCAGAAACUUCACACUGUGCGAAAGCACGAUGAGGGAAUCCCAAGUGCUUGCACGUAAGUGUAAGCUGUUUCUCUGUCUAAAACGCAGAGAGAGUAAGGGCUGGGUAAGACGGGUGCCAGCCGCCGCGGUAAUACCUGCAGCUCAAGUGGUGACCGUUAUUAUUGGGCCUAAAACGUCCGUAGCCGGUUUAAUAAAUGCCUGGGGUAAAUUGUGUAGCUUAACUAUACGAAUUCCGGGUAGACUGUUAAACUUGAGGCCGGGAGAAGUUAGAGGUACUCCUGGGGUAGAGGUGAAGUUCUGUAAUCCUAGGGGGACCACCAGUGGCGAAGGCGUCUAACUAGAACGGGUCUGACGGUGAGGGACGAAGCCCUGGGGCGCAAACGGGGAUUAGAUACCCCUGUAGU
RNAcentral lists this ribosomal RNA (414 nucleotides) under uncultured microorganism. RNAcentral's name for it is "bacterial SSU rRNA". It matches the Rfam family "Archaeal small subunit ribosomal RNA", at positions 330 to 745 of the family's 1478-position model. The record is from RNAcentral.